AUAUGCUUGUCUCAAAGAUUAAGCCAUGCAUGUCUCAGUACAAGCCACAUUAAGGUGAAACCGCGAAAGGCUCAUUAAAUCAGUUAUGGUUCCUUAGAUCGUACCCACAUUUACUUGGAUAACUGUGGUAAUUCUAGAGCUAAUACAUGCAAACAGAGUUCCGACCGGAGACGGGAGGAAUGCUUUUAUUAGAUCAAAACCAAUCGGCGGCGGGUGCGUUCGCGCGCCCGUUCGCCGCUCAACCUGGUGACUCUGAAUAACUUUCGGCUGAUCGCACGGUCCAGCACCGGCGACGCAUCUUUCAAAUGUCUGCCUUAUCAACUGUCGAUGGUAGGUUCUGCGCCUACCAUGGUCGUAACGGGUAACGGGGAAUCAGGGUUCGAUUCCGGAGAGGGAGCC
Molecule: ribosomal RNA, 399 nt
Filed under: Copelatus sp. MB1198
Lineage: Eukaryota; Metazoa; Arthropoda; Insecta; Coleoptera; Dytiscidae
Description: SSU rRNA
Rfam family: Eukaryotic small subunit ribosomal RNA
Source: RNAcentral